UACGAAGGGGGCUAGCGUUGUUCGGAAUCACUGGGCGUAAAGCGCACGCAGGCGGAUUAAUAAGUCAGGGGUGAAAUCCCGGGGCUCAACCUCGGAAUUGCCUUUGAUACUGUUUAUCUUGAGUUCGGGAGAGGUUGGUGGAAUUCCUAGUGUAGAGGUGAAAUUCGUCGAUAUUAGGAAGAACACCAGUGGCGAAGGCGACCAACUGGCCCGAUACUGACGCUCAUGUGCGAAAGCGUGGGGAGCAAACAGG
This 253-nucleotide ribosomal RNA is filed under the name uncultured bacterium. RNAcentral's name for it is "partial 16S ribosomal RNA". It matches the Rfam family "Bacterial small subunit ribosomal RNA", at positions 524 to 776 of the family's 1533-position model. The record is from RNAcentral.